AGGAAAAUAAAAAGGCUAAGACAGUCUGUCUUAACCAGACUAGAGUGUAAAACCAGACUUCUCUGAAGGAACAAAGUACAGUGUAACAAUUCCAAAGGCCCAAUACUUCCAUGAAGUUACGAUAGUAUUACUUCUGGUAGAUGGAAUAUGUCAGACAAGCACUGGUACUGUAUAAGUUGGUGUAACUCCUAUGAUAUUUUAUUGCGUGAGAAAAGUCAGAGCCACAUCAACCAUUAGCAACUACACACGUCCUAUACUCUAACCACUGACAGCCACACUGAAUAAUGAAGGUGUUAAUGAACUGUUUCAUGGCUAUUUUGAAAACAUGUAGUCGUAAAUGGGCAAUAGAAAGAAGUCCCCAUCAUCUCGGGGACUAACUCAACUGCAAAAAUAGCAUUGCCUCUGGGUUACGCUCACAACCACAUCUCAUGCAUGCUGCAGUACAACUCUUCCCCUGUGGAAAGCAAUGACAGCUCAUCAAAGGUGCUACUUCUAUUGUCGUACCAGAUAUUUAGACUCGGGCCAGAAAUUGAGUCCAAAUAUCUUAUGUACAACGUAACAAAAAUACGUCAUUAUAAGUGCUGAAGUCAAAAACGUAUCCCAAAAAGAAGACGCAAAAGUCCGGCAGAGUUCAGUGCAAAAUUCCUUUAAUGACUACAUCAAACACCAACACCAACAUUUAUACCCCUCCUUAGAUGCUGACACAACAUUUGGCAACUUCGAUCCCACAGAUGGCGUUAUGAAAGGAUUGUUGAUCGGUCUUAUCUUUGCAAGUCAGCACUAUUGCUGCCAAGGAGCCCGCCUCCGAUGACGUCUUUAUCUCUGCAGCUGCAAGGCCAAACGCAACCCUGCAUUGUGCAUACAGUAUACGUGAUGGCUGGUGGAAACAACAUGUGUUUAAGUUUCCCUAAAGUGGGACACUGCCUUGUGUGGAGAAUGUAAGCUAAUGUGUUGGCAGAAUAUAAUAUGUUAUACUACAUACAUGUCCAAUAUGCAGAAAAUGUUAAUCAUUAGGGCAAUUCACCCUCCUUCAAAUCACCAAAUUAGAAACAAUUAUGUCAAUGGAUGCAGAAGAUAUGUAGUGGGAAUGUAGUCUCAAAGGGGCAUUUCAAACCUGGUAUAGAAAAUUGUCAGGCAUUGACAAAUUCCUACAGUAAUUAACAUUUUUGGCUGCCAGUUAUAUUCUGUGUGAAGCCCUGUGCUCUAUUUUUUUGUACCUUUAGGCCUACAUGAGUAAAUACUGAGUGUGGGAGUGUUUGGAUUCCUAAAGUGAAAAAGUCUGUGAAAAGUGAACAUGAGCAGGAACUGUUCGAGCCUGUGAUGUCAUUUUUAAACUUCUGAUAAACAGAUUGAAAAGGAUGACCUGUGUGACACCCUACCCAUCCCCAAAUCCUCAAUAAUAGACUAAUCUAAAGCCCUGUUGAUGGAUAUACACAGCUGUGGUUUUCUUCAUUCUGUGGUUUCCCUUCUGUUGAGAGGCAGUUAUGAACAGGAAGGAAGCAGAGUCACAUUACAGACACACCAACAUGUUCAAUAUUAGUGUUUGACUGACUGACUGGAACAGCGGCAUAUUUUUAAUAUGGAGAGCUGAAGCAGACCUAAUGAUGACCUCACGUCAUACUCAAUGGAAUGGGUGUGUGAGUUGGUGGAAGCAAGGAGAAUGGAAAUAUUUGGGGAGUGCAUCACAACCCACUUCUGCUUUCUGUGGCUGUUAAAUACGGCAGUGUGUCCUCCACUUCACAUUCUUCGUCAGGCCACAAAGCAAUAACAAUGCAGUCUCCAAGGACAUUCAUCAGCAGCCUGGCCAUCAUGGCUAUCAUUGCUUCAGUUUUCUGGCAAAGAGCAGAUGCGCAACCAGAAAAGUAUCAGUCCUGCUGCACGAGAGUGUCUAAUGAAGAGGUGAUGGACCCAAUCAUUGGAUUCAAAGCACAGAGGCCAGACAAAUCAUGUGUCGCUGCAGUGAUUGUUAAGACGGACAAAAAUGAACAGUUUUGCUGCUCUCCUCACGCUAAAUGGUUGAAACCCAAGAUUAUGGAGUUCAUGAGGAAGCUGGACAGGGAGACACAGACUAAGCCCUCACUACUGUCUCGUAUCACAACGUCCAGCCAAAGGGCUUAAAGAACCAAGAUGCAACUCACCAGAUGACCAAUCUGGUCUACAGUAUUUUUAAAAUGUUUUUUUUUUUUUUCAGAUUUAUACAGAGCUGUUUUUAAUUUUUUGUUUUAAUUCAUACAGAGCUUUAUUUUAUUUAAGCGAUUUAUAUGGUCAAACAUUUAAUAUUGAAUUAUGUAUUUAUCUAAUUUAUUUAACACAAAAAGUAUGGUGUUCAAGACUUGAAUUUAUUAAACUGACCCAUAUGCUGUGGCUAGAUGAGGUAAUAUUAUGAUAAUGAAAAAUGUUGUGUGUCAAUAUCGCACUUUUUUAAAGAAGAAUGUAACUCUUUCAUUUAUUUCACAUUUGAAAUGCACUGUGCACUUGAGAAAUAAUUACACUUUCAUCCAUGAGAGAUGGUGGCUUUUAGCUCAGUUAUUUUAUUUUCUACACGGUGUACAAUGUAUCAUUGACUGUAGAAUGUUUGUCCUUGACCACAA
Molecule: long non-coding RNA, 2591 nt
Organism: Alosa alosa (allis shad)
Lineage: Eukaryota; Metazoa; Chordata; Actinopteri; Clupeiformes; Clupeidae
Exons: 8
Source: RefSeq, a predicted model, not a curated record